GUCGCAGUGUAGCACAACGGUUAGGGAACUGGGCUCGCAACCCCGAGGUUAAAGGUUCGAUUCCCAGGUGGGGCA
Molecule: transfer RNA, 75 nt
Filed under: Anguilla anguilla (European eel)
Lineage: Eukaryota; Metazoa; Chordata; Actinopteri; Anguilliformes; Anguillidae
Description: tRNA-OTHER
Source: RNAcentral